Molecule: small RNA, 126 nt
Filed under: Escherichia coli
Lineage: Bacteria; Pseudomonadati; Pseudomonadota; Gammaproteobacteria; Enterobacterales; Enterobacteriaceae
Description: partial RtT sRNA
Rfam family: RtT RNA
About the family: This family represents a bacterial cis-regulatory element known as RtT RNA. The exact function of RtT is unknown although it is thought that it may be involved in changing the cellular response in relation to amino acid starvation.
Source: RNAcentral
CCCAUGCGGGGAAGGAUGAGAAGCUUCGACUAAGGUUCGACUUGAGCGCCAGCGAGAGAGCGUUGCCGCAGGCAACGACCCGAAGGGCGAAGCGCGCAGCGCUGAGUAAUCCUUCCCCCACCACCA